This 555-nucleotide ribosomal RNA is filed under the name Chlorophthalmus agassizi (shortnose greeneye). RNAcentral describes it as "partial 16S ribosomal RNA". It matches the Rfam family "Bacterial large subunit ribosomal RNA", at positions 1846 to 2586 of the family's 2925-position model. The record is from RNAcentral. Lineage: Eukaryota; Metazoa; Chordata; Actinopteri; Aulopiformes; Chlorophthalmidae.
UAAGAGGUCCCGCCUGCCCAGUGACUUGUAUAGUUUAACGGCCGCGGUAUUUUGACCGUGCGAAGGUAGCGCAAUCACUUGUCCUUUAAAUGGGGACCUGUAUGAAUGGCACGACGAGGGCUUAGCUGUCUCCCCUAUCCUGUUAGUGAAAUUGAUCUCCCCGUGCAGAAGCGGGGAUAACUACAUAAGACGAGAAGACCCUGUGGAGCUUUAGACACUUAAGCGACCCAAAUAGAGCAAACUCACCACAAAUGAGCUGACUCCCGAUGGUAAGACACCGUUUAGUGUCUUUGGUUGGGGCGACCGUGGGGAAAAGAAAAACCCCCAUGAGGACCUGGGGCGACCCCCCCCCAUAGCCGAGAGCCCACCACUCGAAGCAUCAGAACCUCUGACCCUAAUGAUCCGGCCCACCCGCCGAUCAACGAACCGAGUUACCCCAGGGAUAACAGCGCAAUCCCCUCCCAGAGCCCAUAUCGACGAGGGGGUUUACGACCUCGAUGUUGGAUCAGGACAUCCUAAUGGUGCAGCCGCUAUUAAGGGUUCGUUUGUUCAACG